Molecule: non-coding RNA, 5484 nt
Organism: Callithrix jacchus (white-tufted-ear marmoset)
Lineage: Eukaryota; Metazoa; Chordata; Mammalia; Primates; Cebidae
Source: RefSeq, a predicted model, not a curated record
GUUCCACACCUCGGGAUUGUGUCCUUUUGCCUGCAAUUCCGGGAAAAGACUCCAACUCAGGCUAAGAAUCGGCUGUGGUUUAAAUAGUAGGAAGAGCUCCGAGGGUGGGAAUGGAGUUGGGCGGACGGAGCGGUCAUCUUAACAGCACGUUCUCCCUCUGCGGGAAGCCGGCUGGGCUCUCUCACUCUUGUUUCCUGGCACGUAAGGGAGCAUGUGCCAAAGCGACUUCCUUUGCCAACAGCAAGCCGGGGAUGGGGCUCACGGGUGGAAAUUCAUGGUUGUUAAGAAGGAGACGAUGGCCAGGGGAGGGGGUCCCUGACCCCAUCCAUGGGCAGAUCCCAUAGCCUUUUAUUUAUCCACGAGACCCUCAUGGUGACUUUCCACGAGCAACAGCAAACCAAAUGUGCUUCUGGAAGAGGGAGGGCCAGUGAGCCUCUGGAAGGUUGCUUGUGUUUCUCCACACCCAAGGCUAGACGUGCAACACACACACACACACACAUACACACACUUUAAGCAAACAUUGGACUAAGGCAAAGCAGGACAGCACCUCUGUUUAGGAAAGAGUGAGGAAAUGUCAGUUCUCUUUGUUAUCUGAGAUCAGGAUAGACAGUUCUAGAGCACUGUCCUUCCUGUCAAACUACAGAACUUAAAACUCCAGCUGGGCACCGUGGCUCAUGCCUGUGAUCCCAGCACUUUGGGAUGCCGAGGUGGGAGGAUGGCUUGAGGCCAGGAGUUUGAGACCAACCUGGGCAACACAGCAAGACUCCAUCUCUACAAAAAGUAAAAUUAGGUGGACAUGGUGAUGUCCAGCUGUAGUCUCAGCUACUGGGGAGGCUGCGGCAGGAGGAUCACUUGAGUCCAAGGGUUCGAGGUUGCUGUGAGGUGUGAUUGUGCCACUGCACUGCAGCCUUGGUGACAGAGAUCCUGUCACCAAAAAAAAAAAAAAAAAAAAAAGAAACUUACCAAACCAGACCACAAAUGUUCCACUUUGUGUGCAGAAUUUCCAUAAUGCCACCCACACUUCCCAGUGCCUCACCCCUUCCUCCUCCCUCUUUUUCUUCCUCCUCAGCCCCACUCUCUCCAGUUCUUAUGCCUGGAGGAUGCUUGCUGCUGCUUGAAAAAGUCAUCUGCGGUUCUCCCACCCUGGUUAUGGGUUCUUUAAAAAUAAAUUUAAGUUGGUUCACCCCUGUAAUCACAGCACUUUAGGAGGCUGAGGUGGGCAGAUAAUGAGGUCAGGAGUUUGAGACCAGCCUGACCAACACGGUGAAACCCCGUUUCUAAUAAAAAUACAAAAAUUAGCCGGGCAUGGUAGCGCAUGCCUAUAAUCCCAGCUACUCUGGAGGCUGAGGAAGGAGAAUUGCUUGAACCUGGGAGGUGGAGGUUACAGUGAGCCAAAAGGAAGGAAGGAAGGAAGAAGGGAAGAAAUUAAUUUAAGUCUGAAGUUGUAAUAUCCUGUGUUCUGUAUUAUUUUAUGUGAUUAUGGGUAUUUCACAGAAUGGGAAGUAUUCAGGGCUUUAAUCUGAAGACAGCUUACCAUGGUACCUACAAUGCACUGAAUUAACGUUGGGGUAUCCAGGCCAUUAUUGUACUUAGUGAGAUCCACCUCACCGAAUUUCUGGAUACCCAGAAAAGGUGAUUAAUUUAGAAUUAAUUUCAAAAACAGAAUUGUGCCCACUCUACCACAUGUGCAUAAUUCCUUUUAGAUAUUAAGGAAACACUUUAUCCAUAAUCCAAACCAGUCUCAAAGUUAGAUCAAUGAAGACAGCAAGCACUUCAGCUUGGCCAGUGAGCUAACAGGAUGAAAAAUGCAGCCAACCCUAUGAAGGCUAAAGCAUGUUUUUUUAUUUGUUUUUUUUUUUUUUUUUUGAGAUGGAGUCUCACUCUGUCACCCAGCCUGGAGUGCAGUGGUGUGAUCUCAGUUCAAUGCAACCUCUGCCUCCUGGCUUCAAGCGAUUCUCAUGAUUCUCCUGCCUCAGCCUCCUGAGUAGCUGGGUCUAUAGGCACCUGCCACCACGCCCUGAUAAUUUUUGUAUUUUUAGUAGAGACAGGGUUUCGCCAAAUUGACCAGGCUGGUCUUGAACUCCUGUCCUCAAGUGAUCCAUCCACCUCGGCCUCCCAAAGUGCUGGGAUUAUAGGCAUAAGCUACUGCACCCAGCCUAAAGCAUGGUUCUUAAUCAGGCCCUCUCUUAAUUAGCCCAGUCAUCUCUCAACCUUAGAGAAUGGGCCAGUGCAGAGAGAGGCUGCCUUCGCAAAUUCCUCCUGCCUGGUACUGCAUAGUGCUGUCUCGCCUGAUCUUAAUUAAGCUGAUGUGUGGUUUUCACCAGGCCUUAAGCAUGUGAGUAGGAAAGAGAGUUGUAGAAAAAUGCCCUGUAUUUGGAACUGGAAAACUAGUGAAUUCCAGGGCUGUGAAUUUUGGCAAAUCACCCAGAGCCAUUUUAGGAGCCUUGAUUUAUCAUCUGUAAAAUGGGGAUAAUGACACCUUGCUCUGCCAGCAUCAUAAGGUUGACAUGAAAACUCCAUGCAGGAUGUGCUGUGUAUUUUUCCUGAUCUGAAUCAUGACCUUUUCCUGACCUUUAAUCAUGAGGAGUCUCCUUUUCAUGUGGCAUAACCCCUAUGGGCACCCAUUCCUCAGGGCUCUGCCUUAUCACCUACACAUCUUGGGGUUAUGUUGAACCCCUGUGCCCUGCCCAAGGUUAGAAGCAAAUUUGCUAUCUUCUCUGAAAAGUGCCAGACGUGGAUGGCUUGUCCUACUUGUCCUAUGACAGCAGGAGUUGCUGAGGCUUCACCUGGCAGACAGCAGGGAAAGGCAGAGCCAGGAGAGAGACUACUAGCUGGAGAAUGUGCACUGUGAAGAAUCAGGCUAACCACAGGCUUGUAACCAAAACCAUGCAUGUGUUGCAUUUGGGAUUCUGCAAGAAGUCUUGAAAUGACUAAAAAAAAAAUUGGAAGGAACUGAAGAAAUAUGGAAAAUAGAUGGAACCACACACAGUGAGGGAGGAAGAAAUGAUGGAAGAAAAGAAAGAAGUAAACUAGAAAUGCUAGGGAAAAAGGAGUUUCAAUCUUAGUACACUACUUGGCUCUGUAGAGUACAAUAUUUAUAUAGCAAUCAUGUAAAUGCCAAUUAUUGCUCUAAAUGCAGACUGUAUUGAAAUGAUGGAAGGAGGGAUAUAGGGGGGCAAAUGAUGAUGAAAAAGAGAAACUUAAAGCAAGAAGUUAAUAAUGUUAAUCAAGAAAUAGCAGUGCAUGAAUAUUGUUUGGAAAUAUGGAGAUGAGAAGUCGAGUAGAAACAGCUGAAAAGAUUAAAAGUGGUUGCUUCCAGGUUGCAGGACAGCAGUAAGACAAAGACUUUUCACCAUAUGCCUUUUGGUUCUAUUAUCUUCUUUAAAAAAAUCAUCAUUUUAUGUAGAGCAAAACAUUUUUGAAAGAGAAGUUCUGCAAAUCAUAGAACUUUGAUUUCUACACAGAAACUUGAACAUUUCCUCCAGGUCAGUCUCCUACCUUCAGGUGGGUAAACGCCCAAACUCAGGUGGCCUUUUAGAAUGUUCUGCUUGGCCCCUGAAGAAAUUGAAGAAGGAAAAAGACACAGUUUGUAUUCCACAGUGAAAGUUAUGCUUCAAAGUGACAGAGGCUUUUGGGGAACAUCACUGACUCUUGAAAGCUUGUCAUGGGCCUUCUGAGGGGUCUCCCACUGAGAUAGACAGGGUGAUUGGAGUCGUAGCCGGGAGACCCUGGUCUAGUCUUGAGCUUGUUCCUGCUUUGCUGUGAGAUGGAGCAAGUCUUGUCCUCCCUGGUUUUCAUUAAUGCCUCUGGACAAUAGGGCUUUGAGUUUUCCAAGGGCCUUUACUGCUCUACAUUUCUAGAACUAGACAGUGAUAGCAAACAGCUGUCAGAGGAGGAGAUAGACAACAAACAACUCAGCGAAUAAGAUGCUUUCAGACUGAGAGAGUGGGACGUCCGGCUUCUGAGCGGUAACCUUUGUUGCGCUAACGACGAAAAAGAAUUAAAUAUGAGUGAUGUUGAGAAAGGCAAGAGGAUUUUUUAUUCAGAAGUGUUCCCAAUGUCACACUGGGGAAAAGGGAGGCAAGCACAAGACUGGGUCUAAUCUCCAUGGUAUCUUUGGGCGGAAGACAGGUCAGGCCUCUGGAUUCACUUACACUGAAGCCAAUAAGAACAAAGGCAUCAUAUGGGGAGAGGAUACACUGAUGGAGUAUUUGGAGAAUCCCAAGAAGUAUAUCCCUGGAACAAAAAUGAUCUUUGUUGGCAUUAAGAAGAAGGGAGAAAGGGAAGACUUAAUAGCCUAUCUCAAAAAAGCUACUAAUGAGUAAUAGUUGGCCACUGCCUUAUUUAUUAAGAAACAAAUGUCCCAUGACUUUUUAUGUGUACCAUACUUUAAUAGAGCUCAUACACCAGAAUUUACAACAUGAAUGACAGAAUAUUUUGUUGGGCAGUCCUGAUUUAAAACUAAGACUGGCUUGUGGUUAAAUGAAUAUGUUCAGUUUUUGGAUUUUAAUAGUAAUUCCAAUUUAGUAAAUUCUAUCUGUUCACCCCUUCUAAAGAUAUUAGACUUCGUUAGUAAUGUCAAACUUUUCACAAAGAUAGUGAGUGCCAUCUUAAAACUUACUGGAGAUUGGUUUUAUAUUUAGAUUUAUAUAACUGGUUAUGUGAAUAUAUUUAAAUAUGGGGGAAAUUCCUUCACUGUCUCAGAACCAAGCAAGAUUCACUGUGUUUCGUGUUCAUUUGCCCUUAAAGGCAAGGGUUGAAGAUAAAUGGGUAGCAAUGGCUACUUUAUAUUUUUGGCCUUAACUAUGCCAAUCCAAUUAGAAUUCCCUGUAUUUAAAAUGGUUCCUUUUACUUGUUGAAAGGCAUUUUGUGUGGUUUACGUGUAAUAUGAAAAAUUAUUGAGCUGGGUGCAGUGGCUCAAGCCUGUAAUCCUAGCACUUUGGGAGGCCGAGGCGGGUGGAUCACGAGGUCAAGAGAUCGAGACCAUCCUGGUCAACAUGGUGAAACCCCGUCUCUACUAAAAAUGCAAACAAUUAGCUGGGCACGGUGGCGUGUGCCUGUAAUCCCAGCUACUCAGGAGGCUGAGGCAGGAGAAUUGCCUGAACCCAGGAGGUGGAGGUUGCGGUGAGCCGAGAUCGUGCCAUUGCACUCCAGCCUGGGUAACAAGAGCGAAACUCCAUCUGAAAAAAAAAUUAUUUAACACUUCACACAUUUUAUAGAUGAUCUAUAAGGUCACAUUCUUUUAAAAUAGUAGCCAAUUGAACUUCACUCUUGGAUUCUUUACAAUCUAAAUCAAACUACGUUAUAAUUUAGGAUUGUCUUUAAACAGCCAUUCAGAAACAAAACUGUACAACUGCUGUGUAUUUGUGACUGGGAAUGGUGCUUUUGCCAACUUAAAAGGAUUAAAGUAGCGGAGAUAUACACAAAUUUCAAAAUGAUUCGUGAUCAUAAGACUUAAGAUAAUUAAAAAGAAAACCACAGAUC